CCUACGGGCAGCAGCAGUGGGGAAUAUUGGACAAUGGGGGGAACCCUGAUCCAGCCAUGCCGCGUGUGUGAAGAAGGCCCUCGGGUUGUAAAGCACUUUCAGUGAGGAAGAACGCCUGGUGGUUAAUACCCAUCAGGAAAGACAUCACUCACAGAAGAAGCACCGGCUAACUCCGUGCCAGCAGCCGCGGUAAUACGGAGGGUGCGAGCGUUAAUCGGAAUUACUGGGCGUAAAGCGCGCGUAGGUGGCUUGAUAAGCCGGUUGUGAAAGCCCCGGGCUCAACCUGGGAACGGCAUCCGGAACUGUCAAGCUAGAGUGCAGGAGAGGAAGGUAGAAUUCCCGGUGUAGCGGUGAAAUGCGUAGAGAUCGGGAGGAAUACCAGUGGCGAAGGCGGCCUUCUGGACUGACACUGACACUGAGGUGCGAAAGCGUGGGUAGCAAACAGGAUUAGAUACCCCGGUAGUC
RNAcentral lists this ribosomal RNA (465 nucleotides) under Vreelandella stevensii. RNAcentral's name for it is "partial 16S ribosomal RNA". It matches the Rfam family "Bacterial small subunit ribosomal RNA", at positions 338 to 795 of the family's 1533-position model. The record is from RNAcentral. Lineage: Bacteria; Pseudomonadati; Pseudomonadota; Gammaproteobacteria; Oceanospirillales; Halomonadaceae.